UAGGGAAUCUUCCGCAAUGGGCGAAAGCCUGACGGAGCAACGCCGCGUGAGUGAUGAAGGUCUUCGGAUCGUAAAACUCUGUUAUUAGGGAAGAACAAACGUGUAAGUAACUAUGCACGUCUUGACGGUACCUAAUCAGAAAGCCACGGCUAACUACGUGCCAGCAGCCGCGGUAAUACGUAGGUGGCAAGCGUUAUCCGGAAUUAUUGGGCGUAAAGCGCGCGUAGGCGGUUUUUUAAGUCUGAUGUGAAAGCCCACGGCUCAACCGUGGAGGGUCAUUGGAAACUGGAAAACUUGAGUGCAGAAGAGGAAAGUAGAAUUCCAUGUGUAGCGGUGAAAUGCGCAGAGAUAUGGAGGAGCACCAGUGGCGAAGGCGACUUUCUGGUCUGUAACUGACGCUGAUGUGCGAAAGCGUGGGGAUCAAACAGG
This 429-nucleotide ribosomal RNA is filed under the name Actinomycetes bacterium. Its description in RNAcentral is "Actinobacteria bacterium partial 16S ribosomal RNA". It matches the Rfam family "Bacterial small subunit ribosomal RNA", at positions 355 to 776 of the family's 1533-position model. Lineage: Bacteria; Bacillati; Actinomycetota; Actinomycetes. The record is from RNAcentral.